GAAAAGAAACCAACAGGGAUUGCCCUAGUAACGGCGAGUGAAGCGGCAACAGCUCAAAUUUGAAAUCUGGCUUCGGCCCGAGUUGUAAUUUGCAGAGGAUGUUUUUGGCGCGGUGCCUUCCGAGUUCCCUGGAACGGGACGCCACAGAGGGUGAGAGCCCCGUAUGGUUGGACACUAAGCCUGUGUAAAACUCCUUCGACGAGUCGAGUAGUUUGGGAAUGCUGCUCUAAAUGGGAGGUAAAUCUCUUCUAAAGCUAAAUACCGGCCAGAGACCGAUAGCGCACAAGUAGAGUGAUCGAAAGAUGAAAAGCACCUUGAAAAGGGGGUUAAACAGUACGUGAAAUUGUUGAAAGGGAAGCGCUUAUGACCAGACUUGUGCCGUGCGGCUCAUCCGGGGUUCUCCCCGGUGCACUCCGCACGGCUCAGGCCAGCAUCGGUUUUCGUUGGGGGAUAAGAACUGUAGGAACGUGGCCCCUUUCGGGGGGUGUUAUAGCCUAUGGUACGAUACCCUGGCGGGGACCGAGGACCGCGCUUCGGCAAGGAUGCUGGCGUAAUGGUCAUCAGCGACCCGUCUU
RNAcentral lists this ribosomal RNA (575 nucleotides) under Synnemasporella aculeans. RNAcentral's name for it is "eukaryotic LSU rRNA". It matches the Rfam family "Eukaryotic large subunit ribosomal RNA", at positions 56 to 655 of the family's 3401-position model. Lineage: Eukaryota; Fungi; Ascomycota; Sordariomycetes; Diaporthales; Synnemasporellaceae. The record is from RNAcentral.